GAUGAAGAACGUAGCGAAAUGCGAUAAGUAGUGUGAAUUGCAGAAUUCAGUGAAUCAUCGAAUCUUUGAACGCACAUUGCGCCCCUCGGUAUUCCGUGGGGCAUGCCUGUUCGGGCGUCAUUUAACCCCUCAAGCCUAGCUUGGUAUUGGGUGCUUGUCCCGCCUCUCGCGCGGCGACUCACCUCAAAGUCAUUGGCAGCCCGCAUCUCGCCGGCCGUGAGCGCAGCACAGACGCGCUCUUGGCAACGACGGAUCGGCUCUCCAAAAGCUUAUUUCAACCACUGACCUCGGAUCAGGUAGGGAUACCCGCUGAACUUAAGCAUAUCAAUAAGCGGAGGA
Molecule: unclassified non-coding RNA, 339 nt
Filed under: soil metagenome
Description: partial contains 5.8S ribosomal RNA, internal transcribed spacer 2, and large subunit ribosomal RNA
Rfam family: 5.8S ribosomal RNA (bases 1-120)
Source: RNAcentral